This 191-nucleotide ribosomal RNA is filed under the name uncultured bacterium. RNAcentral's name for it is "partial 16S ribosomal RNA". It matches the Rfam family "Bacterial small subunit ribosomal RNA", at positions 1301 to 1500 of the family's 1533-position model. The record is from RNAcentral.
CAGGCUGCAACUCGCCUGCACGAAGUUGGAAUUGCUAGUAAUCGUGGAUCAGCAUGCCACGGUGAAUACGUUCCCGGGUCUUGUACACACCGCCCGUCACACCAUGGGAGCCGGGAGUGCCUGAAGUGCGUGAGCGCAAGCAGCGUCCUAAGGUAAAACCGGUGACUGGGGCUAAGUCGUAACAAGGUAAC